AGUAAAAGUCGUAACAAGGUUUCCGUAGGUGAACCUGCGGAAGGAUCAUUACAGAGUUCAUGCCCGAAGGGGUAGACCUCCCACCCUUGUGUAUUAUUACUUUGUUGCUUUGGCGAGCUGCCUUCGGGCCUUGUAUGCUCGCCAGAGAAUACCAAAACUCUUUUUAUUAAUGUCGUCUGAGUACUAUAUAAUAGUUAAAACUUUCAACAACGGAUCUCUUGGUUCUGGCAUCGAUGAAGAACGCAGCGAAAUGCGAUAAGUAAUGUGAAUUGCAGAAUUCAGUGAAUCAUCGAAUCUUUGAACGCACAUUGCGCCCCUUGGUAUUCCGGGGGGCAUGCCUGUUCGAGCGUCAUUUCAACCCUCAAGCUUAGCUUGGUAUUGAGUCUAUGUCAGUAAUGGCAGGCUCUAAAAUCAGUGGCGGCGCCGCUGGGUCCUGAACGUAGUAAUAUCUCUCGUUACAGGUUCUCGGUGUGCUUCUGCCAAAACCCAAAUUUUUCUAUGGUUGACCUCGGAUCAGGUAGGGAUACCCGCUGAACUUAAGCAUAUCAAUAAGCGGAGGA
Molecule: ribosomal RNA, 560 nt
Filed under: uncultured fungus
Lineage: Eukaryota; Fungi
Description: eukaryotic LSU rRNA
Rfam family: 5.8S ribosomal RNA (bases 199-352)
Source: RNAcentral